AACGAACGCUGGCGGCAGGCCUAACACAUGCAAGUCGAGCGCCCCGCAAGGGGAGCGGCGGACGGGUGAGUAACGCGUGGGAACGUACCCUUUGCUACGGAAUAGCCUCGGGAAACUGGGAGUAAUACCGUAUGUGCCCUUCGGGGGAAAGAUUUAUCGGCAAAGGAUCGGCCCGCGUUGGAUUAGGUAGUUGGUGGGGUAAUGGCCUACCAAGCCGACGAUCCAUAGCUGGUUUGAGAGGAUGAUCAGCCACACUGGGACUGAGACACGGCCCAGACUCCUACGGGAGGCAGCAGUGGGGAAUCUUAGACAAUGGGGGCAACCCUGAUCUAGCCAUGCCGCGUGAGUGAUGAAGGCCCUAGGGUUGUAAAGCUCUUUCAGCUGGGAAGAUAAUGACGGUACCAGCAGAAGAAGCCCCGGCUAACUCCGUG
Molecule: ribosomal RNA, 431 nt
Filed under: uncultured bacterium
Lineage: Bacteria
Description: bacterial SSU rRNA
Rfam family: Bacterial small subunit ribosomal RNA
Source: RNAcentral